Molecule: ribosomal RNA, 439 nt
Filed under: Acanthamoeba sp. Had_0644
Lineage: Eukaryota; Discosea; Longamoebia; Acanthamoebidae
Description: SSU rRNA
Rfam family: Eukaryotic small subunit ribosomal RNA (bases 1-383)
Source: RNAcentral
UUACCGUGAAAAAAUUAGAGUGUUCAAAGCAGGCAGAUCCAAUUUUCUGCCACCGAAUACAUUAGCAUGGGAUAAUGGAAUAGGACCCUGUCCUCCUAUUUUCAGUUGGUUUUGGCAGCGCGAGGACUAGGGUAAUGAUUAAUAGGGAUAGUUGGGGGCAUUAAUAUUUAAUUGUCAGAGGUGAAAUUCUUGGAUUUAUGAAAGAUUAACUUCUGCGAAAGCAUCUGCCAAGGAUGUUUUCAUUAAUCAAGAACGAAAGUUAGGGGAUCGAAGACGAUCAGAUACCGUCGUAGUCUUAACCAUAAACGAUGCCGACCAGCGAUUAGGAGACGUUGAAUACAAAACACCACCAUCGGUGCGGUCGUCCUUGGCGUCUCGGUCCUUCACGGGGCCGGGGCGCGGGGGCGGCUUAGCCCGGUGGCACCGGUGAAUGACUCCC